This 418-nucleotide ribosomal RNA is filed under the name Erysimum cheiranthoides. Its description in RNAcentral is "eukaryotic LSU rRNA". The stretch from base 278 to 418 matches the Rfam family "Eukaryotic large subunit ribosomal RNA", at positions 1 to 141 of the family's 3401-position model. The record is from RNAcentral. Lineage: Eukaryota; Viridiplantae; Streptophyta; Magnoliopsida; Brassicales; Brassicaceae.
UGCAGAAUCCCGUGAACCAUCGAGUCUUUGAACGCAAGUUGCGCCCCAAGCCUUCUGGCCGAGGGCACGUCUGCCUGGGUGUCACAAAUCGUCGUCCCCCUCUUCAUCCAUUGCUGAGAUGGGACGGAAACUGGUCUCCCGUGUGUUACCGCACGCGGUUGGCCAAAAUUCGAGCCAAGGAUGCUGGGAGCGUCCCGACAUGCGGUGGUGAACUCAAAACCUUCAUACCGUCGAUCGCUCCUGUCCGAAAGCUCUAGAUGACCCAAAGUCUUAAAAGCGACCCCAGGUCAGGCGGGAUCACCCGCUGAGUUUAAGCAUAUCAAUAAGCGGAGGAAAAGAAACUAACAAGGAUUCCCUUAGUAACGGCGAGCGAACCGGGAAGAGCCCAGCUUGAAAAUCGGACGUCUUCGAUGUUCGA